AAGAUUGUUCACUCAGCACCAAAAACAUUUGACUGUUCUGAAUGUGGUCGACGAUUUGGAGGGAAGAGCAACCUGAAAAAACAUAUGAUAAUUCAUUCAGGAUUAAAACCAUUUUUCUGUUCUGAGUGUGGUCAACAAUUUGGACUAAAGAGCUACCUGAAAACACACAUGAUAAUUCAUACAGGACAAAAAGCAUUUGUCUGUUCUCAGUGUGGCCAAAGAUUUGGACAAAAGAGCCACCUGAACACACACAUGAUAAUUCAUACAGGACAAAAAGCAUUUGUCUGUUUUGUGUGUGGUCAAAGAUUUGGACUAAAGAGCACUCUGAAUAGACAUAUGAUAAUUCACACAGGGCAAAAACCGUUUGUCUGUGCUGAGUGUGGUCGAAGAUUUGGACGAAAGAGCCACCUGAACACACACAUGAGAAUUCAUUCAGGACACACCACCCCAACAAAUUAGGAGUCAUUCACUACCUCAACAACAAAACAAUAUACAGAAGCACCCAGACCCAGAGCAGUGGGAAUUAGAAGAGGAUUUGGCAAACAAGAUUGAGGAAACAAGGAGAAUGGACAUGAAAGAGCGUCCAAAACUGAUCAAAUUCAAGGAGGAUGAAAAGCUUAAAAGUACGCUACAGAUAGUUAACCUGGGAUUGGCUAGACUGGUCCCAGAAGGCACCACAUUGACAGAAUUAAACUGUAUGAUUUAUGUAGCAACAUUGUCCAGACAAAGUAAAUUAGUCCUACAUUAUUUGGAGAACCAGAA
Molecule: long non-coding RNA, 762 nt
Organism: Thalassophryne amazonica
Lineage: Eukaryota; Metazoa; Chordata; Actinopteri; Batrachoidiformes; Batrachoididae
Exons: 3
Source: RefSeq, a predicted model, not a curated record